ACGAACGCUGGCGGCGUGCUCAACCCAUGCCAGUCGAACGGAAAGGCCCUGCUUUUGUGGGGUGCUCGAGUGGCGAACGGGUGAGUAACACGUGAGUAACCUGCCCUUGACUUUGGGAUAACUUCAGGAAACUGGGGCUAAUACCGGAUAGGAGCUCCUGCUGCAUGGUGGGGGUUGGAAAGUUUCGGCGGUUGGGGAUGGACUCGCGGCUUAUCAGCUUGUUGGUGGGGUAGUGGCUUACCAAGGCUUUGACGGGUAGCCGGCCUGAGAGGGUGACCGGCCACAUUGGGACUGAGAUACGGCCCAGACUCCUACGGGAGGCAGCAGUGGGGAAUAUUGCACAAUGGGCGGAAGCCUGAUGCAGCAACGCCGCGUGCGGGAUGACGGCCUUCGGGUUGUAAACCGCUUUCGCCUGUGACGAAGCGUGAGUGACGAUAAUGGGUAAAGAAGCACCGGCUAACUACGUG
Molecule: ribosomal RNA, 467 nt
Filed under: uncultured bacterium
Lineage: Bacteria
Description: partial 16S ribosomal RNA
Rfam family: Bacterial small subunit ribosomal RNA
Source: RNAcentral